Molecule: ribosomal RNA, 635 nt
Filed under: uncultured Actinomycetes bacterium
Lineage: Bacteria; Bacillati; Actinomycetota; Actinomycetes
Description: bacterial SSU rRNA
Rfam family: Bacterial small subunit ribosomal RNA
Source: RNAcentral
CGCCUGGGGAGUACGGGUGAGGUAACGGCUCACCAAGGCAUCGACGGGUAGCUGGUCUGAGAGGAUGAUCAGCCACACUGGGACUGAGACACGGCCCAGACUCCUACGGGAGGCAGCAGUAGGGAAUAUUGCACAAUGGGCGAAAGCCUGAUGCAGCAACGCCGCGUGCGGGAAGAAGGCCCUAGGGUUGUAAACCGCUUUCAGCAGGGAAGAAAAUGACGGUACCUGCAGAAGAAGGUGCGGCCAACUACGUGCCAGCAGCCGCGGUGACACGUAGGCACCAAGCGUUGUCCGGAUUUAUUGGGCGUAAAGAGCUCGUAGGCGGUUCAGUAAGUCGGGUGUGAAAACUCUGGGCUCAACCCAGAGACGCCACUCGAUACUGCUGUGACUCGAGUGCGGUAGGGGAGCGGGGAAUUCCUAGUGUAGCGGUGAAGUGCGCAGAUAUUAGGAGGAACACCAGUGGCGAAGGCGCCGCUCUGGGCCGUAACUGACGCUGAGGAGCGAAAGCGUGGGUAGCAAACAGGAUUAGAUACCCUGGUAGUCCACGCCGUAAACGUUGGGCACUAGGUGUGGGUCUCAACCAACGAGAUCCGCGCCGUCGCUAACGCAUUAAGUGCCCCGCCUGGGGAGUACGG